CAGGUGCAGCGCAGCGCGUGUGAGGUGAAAGCUACCUUCCGAGUUUCGGAUCAACAUUUAUCGACUGAUCUCCCAGACCUUACGUUGGAGAAUUUUCUGACAAAAACAAAAUAAAAACGAUGAAGACUUCCUUCCUCCAGAUCCUACAGGAUCCUCACCUAGUCGCCAGAUUUCAGAGAUGCUGUGGUUUGUUUCUGCGAGUUGAAGAACGCCUUUCCGGCAGCUGCAGCAACUCUCACGGCAACACAGCUGGGAGCCAGGGACCCGUGGAAAAAGCUGGUGUCAUCAGGACCGGUGAAUGUACGAAUGGUAACCAGAGAUACAAGAUCAAUGGGUCACAUCAAUACCCUCAUGGACGGGGAAACGAGGACAAUCAUGGGGAGAAGCCAGGAUACGUGGUGAAGAACUAUUUUUUCUACUACUUGUUCCGAUUUGCUGCUGCACUGGGCCAGGAGAUAUUUUACAUCACAUUCCUUCCAUUUACCUAUUGGAAUUUUGAUCCAUUUGUUUCGAGGAGGCUGGUUGGCGUGUGGGCUAUUGUUAUGUAUUUGGGGCAAGCCUCCAAAGACAUCAUUAAGUGGCCUCGUCCAUUAUCCCCACCAGUUGUAAAGUUGGAAACAAGAGUUGAUGCAGAGUAUGGUAUGCCAUCAACACAUGCCAUGGCAGCAACUGCUAUCUCCUUUACAUUCCUUGUCGCUACAAUGUACAGAUACAAGUAUUCAGUUGCAUUAGGACUAAUGGCAUCUACGGUGCUGUCUGCGCUGGUCUCACUCAGCAGGCUCUACACAGGAAUGCACACUGUGCUGGAUGUGAUCUGUGGAAUCCUUGUUACUGCAGUGUUUAUGGCUCUUACAUAUCCUUUCUGGAACAUUAUUGACAAUUUCCAGUUAACCAGUCCUUUAACCCCCAUCAUUGCAAUAGUUAUACCCUUUCUCAUGAGUUAUACCUAUCCAGCAUUAGAUCAUUACAGCCCAACCAGAGGGGACACCACGAUUAUCCUGGGUGUUGCAUCAGGAUGUACAAUUGGCUUUUGGAUGAACUAUCAGUAUGGUCGGACAUAUGAGCCCACAGGACCUCUCCCAUUUGAACUACCUCCUAUAACACUGGAAGUUGCAUCACUAGCCAUUGCACGCUUUCUCGUCGGAAUUAUUGUUCUUGUUGCUACUCGCCAAGUUGUUAAAACAUUCUCCCUCAAAGCACUGUGUGCAUGGUUUAAUGUUGGAGAACAUGAUAAGGAAGCUAGGAAAAGACUGGAAAUUGAAGUACCAUAUAAGUUCGUAACAUAUUCAUCCAUUGGCUUCAAUGCAACAGCUGUAGUUCCUUUGCUGUAUCAAUUCCUUAAACUACUGUGAGGACAGCUAAUGGAUGGAGUUUUGUUGUAAUUUCUUAUGUGGACUGAGGUGCAUUAAAUGCAUUGAUGAAGACCCACAUAAAAGAUAUUUCCUGCACUAUCAUAGCACAACCUUUCAGUUAAAUAUUAUUCGUGUGUAUGUGAAAUCAUUUCAUACUUUAGUUACUUUCCUAGUGUCCUGGUAAUUCCCAUUGCUAGCCAAGAUUGUAUGUGGGUGAUCUAACCUCAAAGCAACAAUGCGAUGAAACAAAUAUUUAAAUGUGCAAAGGAAGCCUAAAGUCAUUGACUCUUGCAUUCCUUUUUUUUGGUCUCCUCUUUCCAUUUCUCAACUGUUCUAUGUUUGCUUGAAAGACCACAGGAAUGAACCCACAUUUCACCACUCACACUUCAGUGCUACAUACUGCUGCUUCAGUGUGCUUCAGGACAGUGAAGAAAACUUUAUAACAGUUUUCCAAAUAUAAAUAUACUGCAAUCAAGAAGUGAAUCUUAAUGAAUAUGGCCUUUUAACGAGAUCAUUGGGUCAGCAAUUUCUUUGCAUUAGGGAAAAUACGUUUAAACAAACUUUUAAUAUUUUUACGUCAAUUUCAGAUGAAAAGCCAAUGGCAGUUAUUGUUGCUAGGUAAUUACCUUACUGAAAAGCAUUUGAUUUUUUGAAAUAGAGCUUUAUUUGAUUGUUGGAUUCAAAUUUGAAUAGGUUAAUCUUUCUUCUGGAACAAAGUUCAAUGUGAUUAACUAAUGGUGCACUUGUGAUAUAGUACCAUUGGCACCUUUACUGCAGUUCUUUAACAUGCCAGCAGCUACAGAUAGAUUAUGGUAAUUGUUUCUAAACAUGAAACAUAAACAAUUUACCAGUGACCUUAAAUAUUCACUGUAUCCAUCAAUGACACACAGUGGCUGCAGUGUGUACCAUAUACAAGAUGCACUGUUGGUACUCUCCAAUGCUUCUUUAACAAAACCUUCCAAAUCUGCAACCUCCAAAACCUAGGAAAAAAAAGUACAUUCAUUCCCCUUCAAGCCAUACACCACUUCGACUUGGAAAUAUAUUGCUGUUUCUUUGUUGUUGUCGGGUGACAAACCAAGAACACCUUACCCUGCAGCCCUUUGGGUAAACCUACACAGACUCCAGCAAUUCAAGAAAUUGAUUUACCUUCUCAGAAAUAUUUGGGGUGGGCCUUCCCAGUGAUACCAAUAACUCAUGGAAUAAAUAAAAGUAAGAUCGUUUCUUACACAAAUAAUAUAUUUUGAGUUUUGAAUAUGUUCUGGAUAUGCAUUGUCCUAAUAAUUUAGCUAUAACAGUAAAAUAACACCUUCAACAUUGAAAACAAUGUUCCAUAGUGUUUUAGUCACAAAGGAAAAAUGUAUAUUAUUGGACAGGGAAAUAAUCAUCUCCUUAUGAUCCUUUUAGUCCAAGCAAAGGUGAAGCAAUUAUGUGCAUAUUUUGUUCUGGAAAAAUCCAUUUAAACAAAUUUGUAAAACUCUCUCCAUGCUCCCUUUCCACUUUAAAGUCAUUGAUCAUGAUGUCACUUCUCAAAUACUUAUGCUCAUCUUUCCCAGAACUCCUAUUUACAUCCUCCAGUCAGGUCAGGUCACAAAUGACAUUGCACUUAAUGGUAACCAAAACUAUUAUCCCACCUCAUUUUUAUCAGUCUGUCUUAAACUUUUUAACAUAUUUGACCACAUUAUCCUUGCCAUUUUUCAUCUAGCUGGGUUAGACUGCAUUCAACUGGCUCCAUUCUUAUUUAUCUGAUUAUAAACCAAAGAAACAGGUACAAUGACUUCUCUCCUUAGUCCCCCGUAGACCAAGACGGUCUCCACCAGAAUCUGUCUUUGGCAUCUUCUCUUAUUUAUAUGCUAUUCCUCGGCCACUUUAUCAGAACACAUGGUAAAUUGAUGUCACUCAGUGCUACCUCACAGUUGCUUCUCUAUAGUUGCAUUGUAUCUAAUACAGGACAAGCAGAGGUUUCCACCAACUAAAUAUUGGGAAGUGAGAGGCCACUGUCUUUGACUCCUGUCACAAAUUUUGCCCCCUAGCCAAUGACACCAUGCCUUUCUUUUGAAUCAACUCAGGUUAAGCAACAAAGAGAUGUUAAAAUUCUCAUUUUUUUUUCCAACCCCUGCUUGACCUGACCUUUCCAGCCUCACAGUUCUCUGAGGUCUCUGAACAUCUCUGAUUUUGGCUCUUGAACAUUACCCAAUUUUAAUUGCUCUACUGUUAGGACCUUAUCUUAAACUGCCUUAGUUCUGCACUCUGGGUUUCCUUGCCACACUUCUCUGCCUCUCCACCUCACUUUCCUCCUUUAAGAUAAUCCUUAAAAGCUACUUCUUUUGCCAAGCUUUUGGACAACUGCUCUAAUAAAGCGUGACGUGACUUAGAGAUAACAAAGUGUGGAGCUGGAGGAACACAGCAGGCCAGGCAGCUUCAGAGGAGCAGCUAAGCUGAUGUUUUGGGUCAGGACCCUUCUUCAGAGUCAUAUUUUGUUUUAUACUGUCUCUGUGAAGUGUCUUGGGACAUUUUAUUUCAUUCAAAUUGCUGCAUAAAUAUAUGUAAUUGUUGUUAUUGCAGACCCUUUUUAAAUGGCAGGUAUUCCAAUGUAAGAUUAUCAACAAGGACUUCUGCUGCUGAUGUUGCUGAAAUGAAUGAUACAAAGAAUGAGAAGUGGGCGCAUAAUGCCCACAAAAAGUCAAGGAUGUAAGCGGAGUGCCUAACCUUGAACUAGAGGAGGUGCUGAAGUUGGCACCAAAUCAAGGCAGUUGCCCUGUCAAUUUGGAGGAUGUCUGAGGAGGACGUUGAAGGGGCAUCAGCUUCCAAAGCCCACAGCUCUGCCCUGCUAAGCCUGCACAGAAAGUACUGAGAGGGGGUGGUGCAAAGGGUCAGAAGAAGCUGAGGCAGGUGGAAGGAAUGAAGAAUUGAGGGGGAUGACUUAGGAAGUUUGCAGCAUUUGGGGAGCGAUGUCUCAAUUUUGAAGGUAUUAAAGUUUCAGCCCUGGUUACCAUUUCCCAGUUGUUUAGACCAAGAUCGGAGGAGCGCACUUUCUGUACCUCUCUAGGUCCACUGCUUCACUGGUCACAACAUAAGUUUGAAUGUUUUACCUAGUUACUUAGAUGGCCAAACAUACUUUAUUCAGAUUGAUUUAUAAUAAACAGACAGAUCCAUCAUGAUAUUUUGAUAAAAACAAUUGUUGGUUUCUUAGAAAACAGAACUUACUCAAUGUAGAUACCAACUAAUUAAAGAUACCUGCCCCUAGUAUGAAAGUAUAUUUACCUCCCUAACUAACCACACAGACAUAAGCACCAAACAAAAGAAAGCAAGAAAAUGGAUUUCUCUGCAGAGAUUCACUUUGGAAAAGUUAACACUUUCUGCCUAUAACUUUUACUUUUUGAUUUGGUUCAAUCUGGUGUUCUGGUACAUGUGGUUAGGUGACUUGACAUAUACAGUUGUCCCUGGAAUUUUUUCAGAUGCAAUUGUUCAGUAAAUAUUGAGGCAAAUUCCAAUAGAGGCUUCUCAAGAGGGCAGUUCAAUCAGUGUUUCAGGUACCACACUCAAUGCAAUUCAUGGGUUUCUCAGGAAACAUGUGCUGGGAUACCCCUUUCCUUCAGCAGGAAGGACACCAACUCCCAUGCAUCAAAAUAGUGUUCAAACAGAAACUAGCUCUCUGGCAUUCAUGAAUACUGAGAUAAAUGAUCUUCAGCAAACAAGGCUAGCAAUUAGCAGAAACCAUGUGGUUUCACAAGUUAUGCCUUCUUAAAAGAAAAGUUCCAAGGGCCAAAGUGAUCUGUAAAAAAACCCAGCUAAACGCAGAAUUUGGAACCAUCCCAUUUUCCCACAAUCCUUCUAAAUUCAAGUCCUUAAAAAUUAAUUAUAAAGGCAUCAUGUCAAAAUGGAGAAAGUGUGUGUGUGUGGCUUUGGGAGGCAGCUCAAAAAAGAUUAGCUAGGCUGAUUCCUGAUGAAGAGAUUAAUUUAUCAAAAGUUUGCUAAACAGGCCCUCUCUGAUGAAGGGUCUAGGCCCGAAACGUCAGCUUUUGUGCUCCUGAGAUGCUGCUGGGCCUGCUGUGUUCAUCCAGCCUCACAUUUCAUUAUCCAGGCCUUCUUGCAUUGCAAGUUUCGAGAAAGGAGGCUUGAUCUUAUUGAAAUUCCGGAGCAUCUUGAGGUUGGAUAUUGAGAAGCUGUUUCCACUAGGAGUGAAUCUCAGACUAGGAGACGUAGUUACAGAAUAAGGGAGCACUUAUUUCUAACAGAGAUCCAAGGGAAUUUUUUUUCCCAGAGGGUAGUGAAUGUCUAUUAACCUUUAUCCCAGAGAAUUGUUGAAGCUACAUCACUGAAAGCUUUUAAAGAGGAGGUAGAUAGAUUAUCAAACUCACGAGGAAUUGAGGGUUAUGAGGAGCUGACACAAAAAAAAUGUUGAUGCCUGGGGUAGAUCAGGUAGGAUGUUAUAGAAUGGCAGAGAAUACUUGAAGUCUGAAUGACCUGUUCUUGCUCCAAGUUCUUAUGUGGGAAAUGUAUAACACUGAUUCGAUCAAAUUAAAAUGGUGACCUUCAUAAUUGUUUGUUUUCCCCACAGGUGAAACCUCUGAAGUUUUAUCCACCAGUCCAGUUAACUUCUGAGGUUGAGGAGUCAGCCUCAGACGGCCACUGUCAUAUCCUUGGACAGCAAUUAGUUCCAGUGAGGAAAUACAUAUAUUGAUGGAUAUUUGUAACUCAGCUGAAAGAGAUCGAGACACUGAUGCAAGCACAUCACAACCACAUGACCAGUUGUCAGAGACCAAGUUAGUGUAGGCCUCUGGCAUUCAGGGGAUUUCUGGAAGUGACCUAGAUUCAGAGCCUCAGGCUGAUGAUGACCCUGUGGAAUCUUCACCAGGUGAAAGAUGCUGGAUGCAUGGUGCAAGCUAUGACAGGCAGACGGAGAUGUAACGGUGAUUCCAGAAACAUUAUGCUUACUGUCACCAAUAUUGGAGUAGUUAUCUAUGCCACGAGUGUUAUGAUCAGACACUCAUCAGAACGCAUGUCUCCUUCCAUUGAGACAUUAACAACUGCUCUGGAAGGGCAAACCCUGAGCUCUUUGAUGGAGUACAGGAUUUUCAGGUGUUUCAUGUACCAUUGUCUUAUCUCUGAGCUCCAGAGUCAGAGCCAGGAGGCAGAUGAGGAGCCUGGAUUAGAAGUUAGAUCCUAGCUAUUCCCAGGGAACAAGUAGAGCCAUGUUAAACUCAAGUGGGUGAAUGGCCAGCAGCUAUUGCUGUUAAAAUGCACUUCUCAGGCUGCUUUUGACUGGGACAGCAUUACCUCUGCUGAUCUGCUAUUGACUCCUACAGUGACAGAUCAGACUCCUGUCACUGUACAGGAGACUCCCAAGAUUCUGGGUCCCUCACAGUCCCAGCAGUGCCAGGAAAUUUGUGACAGACAGAGGGCCGAAAGUGUCAGCAGCACAGCAGAUGGUAAGAAGGGAGCUGCAGCACCAGAAUUACAUUAAUCACACACUAUUUUGUAAGGGUAGUUAGUUAGUUCUGAAAAUUGUUGUUUCAAUUUUGUGUUCAGUUACUGUUGUUUGCAUUUGCUUAUUACAUAAAGAACACAAGAACCAGGAGCUGGAAUAGGCCAUCUGGCCCUUCAAGCCUGCUCCCCCAUUCAAUAAGAACAUGGUUGAUCUUUUCAUGGCCUCAAGUCCACCCACACACCCUGUCAUCAUAACCUUUAAUUCUUUUACUGUCCAAAAAUUUAUUUAUCUUAGCUUUAAAAACAUUCAAUGAGGAAGUUCCCGAACUACUUCACUGGUCAAGGAAUCCCACAGAUUCACAAUCCUUUGGGUGAAGAAGUUCCUCCUCAAUUUAGUCCUAAAUCUGGUUCCCCGAAUUUUGAGGGUAUACCCUCUUGUUCUAGUUUCACCCGCCAGGGAAAAAAAAGCCUCCCUGUUUCUAUCUUAUCUAUUCCCUUCAUAAUUUUAUAUGUUUCUAUAUGAUUCCCACCCACUUUAUUCUUCUUAAUUCCAAAUGAAUUUAAUUACAGUCUAUUCAGCCUCUCCUCAUAAGCCAACCCUCUUAACUCUGGAAUCAACUUAGUGAAUCUCCUCUGCACCCCUUCCAAUGCCAGUACAUUCUUUCUCAAGUAAGGAGACCAAAACUACGCACUGUGCUUCAGGUGUAGCCUCACCAACACCCUAUACAGCUACAACAUAAUCCCCCUGCUUUUAAACUCAAUCUCUCUAGCAAUGAAGGGCAAACUUCCAUUUGCCUUCUUAAUUACCUGUUGUACUUGCUUCAUCAGUGUGUUAUGCAUAUGAUGUGCUCAUUUGGCUUUGGAUUGAUUAAAUGCUAUCAGGAAAUGUGCAUUCACAUGCACUCCUCUGAACAGCCUCAUUUUAUCCCUCACCAGCCAGGCCUGGUGUUGCUGCUUGGAAGGGAUGAAGAACAGCUGAUUAUGGCAAGAAACAAACAAAAGAAACAAAGAAAAUUACAGCACACGAACAGGCUCUUCGGCCCUCCAAGCCUGUGCUGAUCAAGAUCCUCUGUCUAACCUGUCAUCUAUUUUCUAACGGUCUGUGUCCAUUUGCUCCCUGCCCAUCCAUGUACCUGUCCAAAUAUAUCUUAAAAGACGCUAACGUGUCUGCAUCUACCACCUCCGCUGGCAACGUGUUCCAGGCACCCACCACCCUCUCUGUAAAGAACUUUCCACGCAUAUCUCCCUUAAACUUUCCUCCGCUCACUUUGAACUCAUGACCCCUAGUAAUUGAGACCCCAUUCUGGGAAAAAGCUUUUUGCUAUCCACCCUGUCUAUACCCCUCAUGAUUUUGUAGACCUCAAUCAGGUCCCCCCUCAAUCUCCGUCUUUCCAAUGAAAAUAAUCCUAAUCUAUUCAACCUCUCUUCAUAGCUAGCACCCUCCAUACCAGGCAACAUCCUGGUGAACCUCCUCUGCACCCUCUCCAAAGCAUCCACAUCCUUUUGGUAAUGUGGUGACCAGAAAUAUACACAAUACUCCAAAUGUGGCCGAACCAAAGUCCUAUAUAACUGCAACAUGACCUGUCAACUCUUGUACUCAAUACCCUGUCCAAUGAAGGAAAGCAUGCCGUAUGCCUUCUUGACCACCCUAUUGACCUGCGUUGUCACCUUCAGGGAACAAUGGACCUGAACACCCAGAUCUCGCUGUUCAUCAAUUUUCCCUAGGACUUUUCCAUUUACUGUAUAGUUCGCCCUCGAAUUUGAUCUUCCAAAAUGUAUCACCUCGCAUUUGCCCAGAUUGAACUCCAUCUGCCAUUUAUCUGCCCAACUCUCCAGUCUAUCUAUAUUCUGCUGUAAUUUCUGACAGUCCCCUUCACUAUCAGCUACUCCACCAAUCUUAGUGUCAUCAGCAAACUUGUUGAUCAGAUCACCUACACCUUCCUCCCGAUCAUUUACAUAUAUCACAAACAACAGUGGUCCAGCACAGACCCCUGUGGAACACCACUGGUUACAGGUGUCCAAUUUGAGAAACUCCCUUCUACUACUGCCCUCUGUCUCCUGUUGCCCAGCCGGUCUUUUUAUCCAUCUAGCUAGCAUACCCUGGACCCCAUGUGACUUCACUUUCUCCAUCACCCUGCCAUGGGGAACUUUAUCAAACGCCUUACUGAAGUCUAUGUAUAUGACAUCUACAGCCUUUCCCCUCAUCAAUCAACUUUGUCACAUCUUCAAAUAAUUCUAUUAAGUUGGUAAGACAUGACCUUCCCUGUACAAAACCAUGUUGUCUAUCACUGAUAAGCCCAUUUUCUUCCAAAUGGGAAUAGAUCCUAUCCCUCAAUAUCUUCUCCAGUAGCUUCCCUACCACUGACAUCAGGCUCACCGGUUGAUAAUUACCUGGAUUAUCCUUCCUGCCCUUUUUAAACAAGGGGACAACAUUAGCAAGUCUCCAGUCCUCUGGGACCUCACCUGUGUGUAAGGACACUGCAAACAUAUCUGUUAGGGCCCCAGCUAUUUCCUCUCUCGCUUCCCUCAGUAACCUGGGAUAGAUCCCAUCCGGACCUGGGGACUUGUCCACCUUAAUGUCUUUUAGGAUACCUAACACUUCCUCCUUCCUUAUGUCAACUUGAUCUAGACUAAGCAAACAUCUAUCCCUAACCUCAACAUCCAUCAUGUCCCUCUCCUUGGUGAAUACCGAUGCAAAGUUCUCGUUAAGAAUGUCACCCAUUUUCUCUGACUCAGCGCAUAACUUUCCUUCUUUGUCCUUAAGUAGGCCAAUCCUUUCUCUAGUUACCCUCUUGCUCUUUAUAUAUGAAUAAAAGGCUUUGGGAUUUUCCUUAACCAUGUUUGCCAGCAAUAUCUCAUGUCCUCUCUUAGCCCUCUUAAUCUCUUUUUUCAGAUUUGCUCUACAUUCCCGAUAUUCUUGCAAAGGGGAUCUCAUUGAGUAAAUUACACACCAAUAGGUUAAUCUUUACAUAAGUAGUGAACCCCAUCUCUCUUAUAAAACCUCACUGGCACCAACUUCUGCAGCUGGCAUUCUAGUACUGAUCUCACCCAUAAAGACAACAUCACCUCUCUGAUGAAGGGUCUAGGCCCGAAACGUCAGCUUUUGUGCUCCUGAGAUGCUGCUUGGCCUGCUGUGUUCGUCCAGCCUCACACUUUGUUAUCCAUCAUUUCCACAUCUACCUUGUCUAGACCAUUCAAGCAAACUUCAAUCAAGUCACCUCUUGCUCUUUCAAAUUACUGUGGAAACAAAGCCAGCCUGUCCAACCUACCGUCAUAAUAUGACUCACUUAUUUCAGAUACCCCAAUCAAGAAAAACUCCUUUGAACUGCUUUCAAUGCAUUUACACCCAUUGUAAGUAAGACAACCAAAAUGGUACACACUAUGCGAGAUGUUGUCUGACUAAUGCCCCAUAUAACUUCUGUUUUUAUUCAUUCAUGUGAUGUGGGCAUCACUGGCUCGGCUUGUAUUUAUUGCCUAUCCCUAUCUGCCUUUGAGAAGAUGAUGAGCUGCCUCUUGAACUGCUGCAGUGCAUUUUGUGCAAAUAGAGCCACAGUGCCAUGAGGGAAGGAGUUCCAGGAUUUUGACUUAACGACACUGAAGGAGAAGUAAUAUAUUUCCAAGUCUGGAUGAUGGAAGGCAUGGACGGGAACUUACAGUGUUCCCAAGUAUCUUCUGUCCUUGUCAUUAUUGAUGGCAUUGGUUGUGGGUUUGGAAUGUGUUGUCUAAAGAGCCUGGAGGAAUUUCUGCAGUGCAUCUACCAGUGCGGAAUGUGCACACUAUUGCUCCUGAACAUUGGUGGUGGAGGGAGUGGAUGUUUGUGGGUGAGGGGCUAAUCAGGUGGCUGCAUUGUCCUAGAUGGUGUCAAGAUUCUUGAGGUGCAUAAAAUCUGAAGCUCUGAAUGAUCGCAUUCUCUUAUGUACCAUUAUAGUUAAUAAAGGAUUGCACCCCAUUAACCUUUUU
Stegostoma tigrinum is the source of this 10739-nucleotide RNA transcript. It is a transcript of the gene named sphingosine-1-phosphate phosphatase 2, with no coding region annotated. The transcript is spliced from 6 exons. NCBI's taxonomy places the organism in Eukaryota, Metazoa, Chordata, Chondrichthyes, Orectolobiformes, Stegostomatidae. The record is from RefSeq and is a predicted model, not a curated record.